CCUACGGGUGGCAGCAGUAGGGAAUCUUUCACAAUGGGCGAAAGCCUGAUGGAGCAACGCCGCGUGCAGGAUGAAGGCAUUCGGGUUGUAAACUGCUUUUAUAAGCGAGAAAUAUGAUGGUAACUUAUGAAUAAGGAUCGGCUAACUACGGGCCAGCAGCCGCGGUCAUACGUAGGAUCCGAGCAUUAUCCGGAGUGACUGGGUGUAAAGAGUUGCGUAGGUUGCAUAAUAAGUAGCUAGGGAAAUCUGGUGGCUCAACCAUUCAGACUAUUAGCUAAACUGUUAAGCUCGAGACCGUUAGGGGUAACUGGAAUGUCUAGUGUAGGAGUGAAAUCCGUAGAUAUUAGAAGGAACACCAAUAGCGUAGGCAGGUUGCUGGGACGGUUCUGACACUAAGGCACGAAAGCGUAGGGAGCAAACGGGAUUAGAUACCCCAGUAGUC
Molecule: ribosomal RNA, 442 nt
Filed under: uncultured bacterium
Lineage: Bacteria
Description: partial 16S ribosomal RNA
Rfam family: Bacterial small subunit ribosomal RNA
Source: RNAcentral